GUUAAUUAGUUAUCCUAAUGAGCUUAAUUAACUUAAUAGUCCCACCGCAGGCGGUGCUACCAGGCAGCCAGGGUGGAGAGCCCUGUCCUGUGAAGUCCUUACUCAGAGGUUCUGGGGCCACUGUAUGUGCCCUGGGGGUAGCCCCAGGUGUUGGUCUUGAACUGCUUGCAUCAGGCUCACGUGGGAGGGAAUAGCAGCCAUCUGGGCGAUGCCUACCCAUGUUUGCGGAUGGCAGUCUCUUAACACAGUGUAACCUUGAGCAUGGCCAGGAGGGAAGUGAAUAGAAGCCUUGUCUGAGAGUGCUUUAAUCUGUUACUAACAUUAAUAAUCUGUUAAUAACUAAUAGUCUGGACUAACACUCAGGGAGUGUCGGUGAAUGUUAUGAGUUCCAAGAACAAGCCCUUUCCUGCAUGGAGCAAUCCCCUGUUUCAGGAAAGCAAUGCCCUUGGCUGGACUGCAGACUCCACAUGCAGUACAGACCGGAGACAUGGGUGUGGCGAUCCUGCCUUCUAAGAUGGGGCUCGUUAACUAGUGUAUACACGUGUGGGCUUAUGCCAUUGGUUGGCAUAAAUGCACUGCUUGGAGGAUUCAGGUUCCUUUUUAAUUGAAGAUUCCGAGAACCAAAAUAUGGGGCCACUUUGCUUUGCUGUUGCGGCCUCUUUGGAAGAUGAAUCUUUUGUAUACACUAGCAGAGCUGUGCUAAUAGGCUCUUUCUGUAAAGUGGGGAAUCUUUUUGGUAGUGCAGACACACACUCUAUACUCUUCCUAUUUCAGUAUAUGUCUGUAAAUACUUCUGGUAUUUCUUGAUAUUGAUGCCUUCCUUGGCAUGGUGUUUGUUCUCAGAUAUAAGUUGUGCUUUGAUCAACUUUUUUUUUUUUUUUUUUUUGAGAUGGAGUCUCACUCUUCACCCAGGGUGGAGUGCAGUGGCACUAUCUUGGUUCACUGCAACCUCCGCCUCCCGGGUUCAAUCAAUUCUCCUGCCUUAGCCUCCCGAGUAGCUGGGACUACAGGCGCGUGCCACCAUGCCUGGGUAAUUUUUGUAUUUUUAGUAGAGAUGGGGUUUCACCAUGUUGGUCAGGCUGGUCUUGAACUCCUGACUUCAUGAUCCACCCACCUCAGCCUCCAAAAGUGCUGGGAUUACAGGCGUGAGCCAUCAUGCCUGUCUUUUUUUUUUUUUUUUUUUUUUUAAAUACAGAAUCUCACUCUGUUGCCCAGGCUGGAGUGCAAUGGCACAGUCUCAGCUCACUGCAGCCGCAGCCUCCUAGGUUAAAGCAAUUCUCCUGCGUCAGCCUCCGAAGCAGUUGGGGCCACAGGCAUGUGCCACCAUGCCUGGCUAAUUUUUGUAUAUUUAGUAGAAAUGGGGUUUCACCAUAUUGGCCAGCUGGUCUUGAACUCCUGACCUCAAGUGAUCCACCUGCCUUGGCCUCUCAAAGUGCUUGGAUUACAGGUGUGAGCCAGCGCACCCAGCCUCAUCGACUUUCUUUAUUGGCUACGGGUGCUGGGGACACAGGGACCUGGUUAUGCACUGAUGAUGUUGCCCUUUCUCUCCUGUGAAAUGCAGUGGUCCUAUUGGCUACUGAAGGUUUUUGCCAUUUUCUUUUUUUAGAGACAGGGUCUCACUCGUGCCCAGGCUGGAAUGCAGUGGUGCAAGCAUAGCUCACUCCAACCUUGAACUCGGGCUCAAGCAAUCCUCCCACCUCAGCCUCCAGAGUAGCUGGGACUACAGGCAUCCAUCACCAUGCCUGCUGGUUUUUGCCUUUUAGAUGAUCAAUGAUGACUUUUUCCUCCUGCUUUCAGGGUGUGCUGGACCGGUUUUCUCAAAUUCAGCCAAAGCUCAUCUUCUCUGUGGAGGCUGUUGUCUAUAAUGGCAAAGAGCACAACCACAUGGAAAAGCUGCAGCAGGUGGUUAAAGGCCUACCAGACUUGAAGAAAGUGGUGGUGAUUCCUUACGUGUCCUCCAGAGAGAACAUAGACCUUUCAAAGAUUCCAAACAGUGUGUUUCUGGAUGACUUUCUUGCCACCGGCACCAGCGAGCAGGCCCCGCAGCUGGAGUUCGAGCAGCUGCCCUUCAGCCACCCACUGUUCAUCAUGUUCUCAUCAGGCACCACUGGUGCGCCCAAGUGCAUGGUGCAUUCCGCUGGGGGCACCCUCAUCCAGCAUCUGAAGGAGCACCUGCUGCACGGCAACAUGACCAGCAGUGACAUCCUCCUGUGCUACACCACGGUCGGCUGGAUGAUGUGGAACUGGAUGGUGUCCCUUCUGGCCACAGGAGCGGCCAUGGUCUUGUACGAUGGCUCCCCCCUGGUGCCCACGCCCAAUGUGCUCUGGGACCUGGUUGACAGGAUAGGCAUCACUAUCCUGGUAACCGGGGCCAAGUGGCUGUCGGUGCUGGAAGAGAAGGCCAUGAAGCCGGUGGAAACCCACAGUCUCCAGAUGCUCCACACGAUCCUGUCCACUGGCUCCCCACUGAAAGCCCAGAGCUACGAGUAUGUCUACAGGUGCAUCAAGAGCAGUAUCCUCCUAGGCUCCAUCUCAGGUAUGGCCCCGG
Molecule: small RNA, 2548 nt
Filed under: Pongo abelii (Sumatran orangutan)
Lineage: Eukaryota; Metazoa; Chordata; Mammalia; Primates; Hominidae
Description: retained intron
Source: RNAcentral